UGGGGAAUAUUGGACAAUGGGCGCAAGCCUGAUCCAGCCAUGCCGCGUGAGUGAUGAAGGCCCUAGGGUUGUAAAGCUCUUUCACCGGUGAAGAUAAUGACGGUAACCGGAGAAGAAGCCCCGGCUAACUUCGUGCCAGCAGCCGCGGUAAUACGAAGGGGGCUAGCGUUGUUCGGAUUUACUGGGCGUAAAGCGCACGUAGGCGGACUUUUAAGUCAGGGGUGAAAUCCCGGGGCUCAACCCCGGAACUGCCUUUGAUACUGGAAGUCUGGAGUAUGGUAGAGGUGGGUGGAAUUCCGAGUGUAGAGGUGAAAUUCGUAGAUAUUCGGAGGAACACCAGUGGCGAAGGCGGCUCACUGGACCAUUACUGACGCUGAGGUGCGAAAGCGUGGGGAGCAAACAGG
RNAcentral lists this ribosomal RNA (404 nucleotides) under Actinomycetes bacterium. RNAcentral's name for it is "Actinobacteria bacterium partial 16S ribosomal RNA". It matches the Rfam family "Bacterial small subunit ribosomal RNA", at positions 355 to 776 of the family's 1533-position model. The record is from RNAcentral. Lineage: Bacteria; Bacillati; Actinomycetota; Actinomycetes.